This 30-nucleotide non-coding RNA is filed under the name Homo sapiens (human). Lineage: Eukaryota; Metazoa; Chordata; Mammalia; Primates; Hominidae. The record is from RNAcentral.
UGGAAGUGAGAGAGACAAUGUCACACUUCA